This 167-nucleotide unclassified non-coding RNA is filed under the name uncultured Cudoniella. Its description in RNAcentral is "sequence contains ITS1". The record is from RNAcentral. Lineage: Eukaryota; Fungi; Ascomycota; Leotiomycetes; Helotiales; Helotiaceae.
CAGUGUUUUCUACCCUGAAAAGGGUCAGAACUCCACCCUUGCAUACUACAGUUUGUUGCUUUGGCGGGCCGCGAGGCCUAGCCGCGCCCCGGCUUCGGCGGGGGAGUGCCCGCCAGAGGACCCCAAACCCUGAAUGUUAGUGUCGUCUGAGUACUAUAUAAUAGUUA